UACAGAGGGGGCAAGCGUUGUUCGGAAUUACUGGGCGUAAAGGGCGCGUAGGCGGCCUGCUAAGUCGAACGUGAAAUCCCUGGGCUCAACCCAGGAACUGCGUCCGAUACUGGUUGGCUUGAAUCCGGGAGAGGGAUGCGGAAUUCCAGGUGUAGCGGUGAAAUGCGUAGAUAUCGGGAGGAACACCUGCGGUGUAGACGGCUUACUGGACCGUGACUGACGCUGAGGCACGAAAGCGUGGGUAGCAAACAGG
Molecule: ribosomal RNA, 253 nt
Filed under: uncultured bacterium
Lineage: Bacteria
Description: partial 16S ribosomal RNA
Rfam family: Bacterial small subunit ribosomal RNA
Source: RNAcentral